CGGAUUAGCUAGUUGGUGAGGUAAUGGCUCACCAAGGCGACGAUCCGUAACUGGUCUGAGAGGAUGAUCCAGUCACACUGGAACUGAGACACGGUCCAGACUCCUACGGGAGGCAGCAGUGGGGAAUAUUGGACAAUGGGCGAAAGCCUGAUCCAGCCAUGCCGCGUGUGUGAAGAAGGUCUUCGGAUUGUAAAGCACUUUAAGUUGGGAGGAAGGGCAGUUACCUAAUACGUGAUUGUUAAACGUACCGACAGA
Molecule: ribosomal RNA, 255 nt
Filed under: uncultured bacterium
Lineage: Bacteria
Description: partial 16S ribosomal RNA
Rfam family: Bacterial small subunit ribosomal RNA
Source: RNAcentral